RNAcentral lists this ribosomal RNA (243 nucleotides) under uncultured bacterium. RNAcentral describes it as "partial 16S ribosomal RNA". It matches the Rfam family "Bacterial small subunit ribosomal RNA", at positions 793 to 1036 of the family's 1533-position model. The record is from RNAcentral.
GUCCACGCUGUAAACGAUGAGAACCAGAUGUCGGGAGGGUUGCCUCUCGGUGUCGCAGUUAACGCGUUAAGUUCUCCGCCUGGGGAGUACGCCGGCAACGGUAAAACUCAAAGGAAUUGACGGGGACCCGCACAAGCGGUGGAGCAUGUGGUUUAAUUCGAUGCAACGCGAAGAACCUUACCUGCCCUUGACAUCCUCGGAACUUGUCAGAGAUGACUUGGUGCCUUCGGGAACCGAGUGACA